GCACACAAAUCUCACAGAGUAAACACUUUUGCCCAGUACAUUUUAAGGAGCAACACGUGACAUUCUGAACAUACACAUAGAAGAUCAGAUUAGCUAAAAGUACAUGAAACUGGAGGAACAGUUAGCUUUGUCAAACAAAAAUGCCUCAGCAAAGUAACUGCUUGGAAUAGUUUCAGAUCUACAGCAAUAAUACAAAUAUGAGUAUUUCCCAGAAUGUGAAGCUAAUAUUAUAUCAAAUAAUGAUUGAAAAAAAGACACAAAAAUAUUCAUCUUUCUAAUGAAAGCAUUUAAGACACAGGGAUAUCUGGUGUCGUUACAGCAGUGAAACUCUGAUAACACCCCACUUAUCACAAGGUGCUGCAGCUAUUAUCUGAGCUUCACACCGUUGAGUUAAGUUAAGAUAGUUGUCUUGAUUUAAGCUGCUUCUGCUGAGUCAACUUGGCUUUGAACUUUGAGCGAGCGUUUCACCAUGAACCCCCCCCACCCCAUUUGUCCCCCGGGUGCUUAUAGGGUGGAGAAGGUUAUAGAGCGGAUGGAUCUGUGGACAAAUGAAGGUGACGACACAGACGGAGCAAGUGAGCGCUGGAGACAGAGGCAGAGUCGGGAACAAUGUAGUAAAAAAGAUGACAAUGUCGAUAAAGUGAAAUUGGAGAUCAAGCCAACAGAUGGUGGAGCAAAGAAUGUGACCUGCCAAGUUCGUUGUGGCACUCCAGGCACGGAUAGACGGAUACAUAUAGUCGGGAGAUAAAGAAGGGGGGGAAGAGAGGAAAUGACAGAUGCUCAGCGGGACAAACCAAUGGAGGGAGGGUGGGCGGGGGGGGCAGGAAAGCACAGAGAGAUGAGGGGAGGAAGUGAGACUGGCACAAAAGAUGAGUGGGAAAGCAAAAGGACGGAUAUCUGUAAAAUCUAAAUAUUAAAAGUAAAUGGAGAUAAGGGGCGACGGUGAAAACGAGCGAGGGAUUGAAAAAAGGCAGUUCAGUAGAACCAGGCGCUGCAUUGAAAGAGGGACGCAAGAGAGCAGGGGAGAGGCCACCGCUUGCCUUCCUCCAAUUCUGAUGUGGAACAAUGGCUGCCUAUCAGUCUGUCAGCACCUAAAGGCGCAGUGGUAGUGAGAAGGUAGGAGUGACACGGCCCCAGCAUCAAUGCGCCAUUGUCUGUUCAUGAGUCUCCGUCGAAACGAAUAUCACUUCCUUUCCUAUUAAAAGUUCUACCACUAUGACUAACGGCUGGAACUUGGGGGGUGGAGGGGGAGGGAGGGGGGGUCCGUUCUCUCUUAAAGCCUGUAAACAGAGCGAUUGUGCAGAUGCGUUCUGCAUUCUGUGCGUUUGUCGCAACGCGACAGAGGCCCCCACGCGGCGCAGUGCAUUUUUCAGAGUUACUAAAGAUGCCCACACAAACAGCCACAUACACAUAAGUAUUGAACAAUGAUGUCCUUUAAUGAUUUCCAUUACCUUCCUCCAAGCAAAGGCUCUGUUUCUCUUUAAACUGUUAUUGUGUCUUGACAACAUACAUUAAACAAGUGAGAGUGGAGAAGGAUUGGAAUGCAAUGCACUGUUAACAGACACAAUUGGACACAAAAAGAUUCUGUCUUCCCGGCAGCAGUCAUAGAUUCAGACCAAGAUGUAAUAACUGCAUACUGUACAUGCAACGUCUGUGUGAAACACUGUGUAGUCAUUGCAGAAACCAGUGGAUUAUGCUGGUAAAGCAUAAAGUGCCACAUCCUGUUGGCUGUUGUUGAUCCAACUUUUGACCUAAUUGAGGAGGGAAACAUCGCUCCUGAUAUCUAAUGUUCACAGCAACUGAGCCGUUUACAAAAAGGCCACAGGUCCGAGUGGCUAAUACAGCCUAACUAUUUACUUCUUUUAAUUUGCUAAACAUAAAGUUGUGAGCCAAAUGUACUCACUGUCACUUUUGAUCCACAGUCAGAUUACUUUUUUAGUGAAGCAUGCCAAGAUUAAUUAAUUGUCGUGUGUGCAUGUGCAUAGUUGGUUGUUUGUUUAGUUUGGGGAAAACCUCUGAAUUAAUGCUCUCUAUUUGUAACAGCUAAUUAUGACGCUGAGGGAUCGUAUUUCUAAUUACAGUGUUUGACACAGACAAACAGUAAAUCCAGUUCAACAAAAGUUACACCGUAAAUGUGAUCUCAUAAAAAAAAAUCUCAAAAGAGAAGAUUUGUUGCAUUCUAACAUAUGAAUAUGCUACUAUACUUAGUUUGAGAAGAAAGCUCUUAAUGCCUUGCACAUAGAAUCCCAGUCCUUUCUUUUUUUAAUAGUCACAUAGACACAAUAGUGAAUGGGACAGCUGGAUUCUUGAGCGGUUGGACCUCUGCAGUAUGAACUCAAUGUAAACCAUAUUCAUUUCCUCUUAGUAAGCUUUACCAGAUACAAAGUCUCAUGUGAGUUAACGGUCAAAAUCACUGGAAUUGAUCAACAACCCAGUCAAAGCACCAAAUACAUAUUUUUGUAAUUUGAAUAUUUGUGGGCUGCGUAAAUCCUAUUUCUGUCCGGUUUAAGCUUUUCUUGCUGUGAUAUCCUGUUUCAUAUGUUUUCCUUUUCUCAGUGCUGAAGACUUGUGGCUGGGGGGAAAUGCAUACAUUUGCAUUAUACAAACAUUUGUGUUCAUUUUCAACAUGCUGAGUAUUAACGCGAAAAAAAAUCUCAACGUAGUUUCAUCAGCUACUCAAUGAUUACACUCUAAAAGUCAUUUGGACAAAGUAUCAUUUAGGCGUUAAUGAACGCAAACCAUUAUGUUAUUUGACUUUAUGUAAGAACAUGGCUUUUUUUGACGUGUUAAUUUAAAACAGUUAUUAGUUUGGCUCUGGCCCAACUUUGCAAGCGCCCACUCUGUUCAUUUCUACACAUAGAUAGAUCUCCUCGCAGAGUGCUGCGAUCAAUGGCGCGAUGAAUGUGGUUCUGGUUAGGAGGGAAAAGUGGGAGGCAAAGAAGCAAGAGGAAGAGAGCUGCCUUUGGAAAUGUGCUCUCGUUGGAGCACAUUUUUCCUGACAAUUUUGACACACGGGACUAUAAACUAUGUAAAAUAAAUAUAUGCAAACAAUAAAGAAGCUUUUUGGAGUUUAUCAGGCCCGUGUAUGAGUGGGGAGGGUUGAGAGACUAGAGUGCUUUUUGAGUAUGUUCAUGAUGUUUAUGUGUAUGUAUAUGUGCAAGUUGGAAUGUAAAUUAAAGUUGGAAGACUAAAGAAUAUACGCAUAUGUUUGUUUUCUAUGCAAGCAUGCAUCUACUAGGGGCGUGGUGGUGGGGGACGAGCGGUAAUUGAUGGCGGUUUCUUGGGCGUCCUUUUGGGACUUGUAUGUAUAAAUAUCCAUGAAAAGCCACAUUUAGAGAACCAGCCGACCAGCUAACCGACCAGCCAACAAGUCACUCACAGCGCCAGACAUUCCACAACCAUCAUUUAAGCAACUCGCUUUGAUUUUCUAUUAACUUGUUAACUGCCCUACUUUACAAGCAAAUGGGAAGUAUUAAACCUCUACCCGCUGGUUCUCCAUUAACUUGCGCUCAAUCACGGCCUUUUCACACAAUAAUAAAAUGUUGUUUUAACUUUAAAUGCAUUCACAUGCAGCGGAAUCAACGGAACUGCAAAUAAUAUCCUUAGGCAGUGAGAGUGUUGUUCAAGUGAAUCAUUUUAUGCAGGAAGCAUAUGUUACCUGAGGGAAAAGUUGUCAAAUUAGUAAUGUGACGCAUUCUCUGCCAUUACUCCCCACACUGGCUAAUGCCCAUCAGAGCAACUGUCAGGAGGAUCAGAACAUUUCUGUCUUUGACGCCCCACAGUGGGCAUCGAACAGAGAUACAGUUUCUAACAGCAAUACAGGACAAUCCCUCCUUGCUGGAUCCAACUCGAGGACAAGGGAAAUAAUGUCCUGAAAGCAAAACAUGUAGUGACCAAUUUAUAGAGGGAUUUGUUAUUUAUUACAAAAAACUAUAUUAGAUUAUUAAAAAGGAAGAGUUUAAAACAUGGUUUUAGGCAUCACAAAGAUGACAUCACAUUUAAUGAGAAUGAUAAAUUAUACAGAAAUAAUAGACAAUAACACAACACAACAUCUACUGGCAGCCCUGGUUUAUAUAUUCUGCAUUAAAGCAGUCACCCUGUUCUGCUCUGCCCUGCGGACUUUCCAUCACCACAUUCUCACCACUAUCUGACUGACAUGCUGUGGCGCAGGAAGUGUGUGGUGUGCGUUGGAGAGCAACGAUGGUUUUCACAGUCAUAGACCACUGCACAGGACCCUAUAAAUGUCAUUCUGCCUGGUGGGAGGAGAAGACGAAGAUGGGGCGCUCAAGCGGGAUCACCCCAUCGAUAAUGUGAUCCACAGCUGCUGCACUGUGAGCACCUGCAGGCUUAAAUCAAAUUUCACAAUCCCACACCCCAACAGUGGUGUUAACGACAGAGAUUGCACUGCAAAUGUCGGGCCCUCAAACUCAACACGCCCUCACACACAGGAGUAUUCCAGUAAUUUGGGGAUGUUAAGGGAUGUUUGCGGAUCCUUGUGUCGGGUUACUUACUUUCCAGGCAAGGCUACUUAGGAACGAACAGUUCAAAACCACAACGGCGUCGCACAACCAUCUUGUGAACCACCCGAUCCUGGUUAGUGUUUGACAAAAUUACAGCUAUCAGCCAUCGCACAAGGAUUCUCAGUGAGAUAACCCAGCCGCGUGCUAGCAAUGGGGUAAUUGGGGUUAUAUUUUGGAAACGGGGGGAUUGUGUUUCUGUUUGAUGAGCAACACAGUGGGUGGAAGGAAAUCAGAACCCUGAUUUAUGCCGACUUUGAAUCUGUUUGCCAUGGACAAGCUAUUGGGGGCCGCGUGUAUCAGUCUAGUGGGAGUAGUUGACUCAUCAGAAUAAAGGAGAUCAAUGCAUUUUCCACUGGAACUGGGUGACAUUGUGCAGUGACAUAGAGGUUGGAAUCAGCUAGUAAAGCUAACAAAAAAAAUCGGAUUGUGUAGUUGAAGAGAAAGCCUCCCUCAUUCGUACAUGCAGAUCCAUAUGCAGCGGUAAGAAUCUGAGGUGCUAAUGGCGAAAAAAGAGUAAAGAGUUAUUUUAGCACCCUGAUCCUACAAACACACACAAGUCUGGCAGUUCUAAUCAAAAGAGCAGGGCUUCUCAGAGGGCGUCCUCCGGGGAGGCCCGUGUCUGGGGCCUGCUUCCCCCGAGGGCACCAGGCUAUCAUUCAGCCCGCAGGACCUGACCGGACCUCUAAGCCCCGAGGGCAGAUGCUCAUCUCCUCCAAACCCAACUAUCGGCCUCUCUCUGCUGCAUUAUUGAUGAGCUCUUCUGCAGUGCACAGCCCUCUAACAGCCCUUGCACUACAGAUGGAUUCUACUGUAGCAGAGUCGGUAGCUGGAAAAAGUUGGAAAGGAUCAGCAGUGGAUGGAUGUAUAUGCAGAGUGUAUGGAUGGAUGGACAAACAGGCAAGUCUAGAUGAAAAUGCAUGAUGGAUUUUUGGCUUCUGCGCUCUGCCUUGGAGACAUG
Molecule: long non-coding RNA, 5478 nt
Organism: Gasterosteus aculeatus aculeatus (three-spined stickleback)
Lineage: Eukaryota; Metazoa; Chordata; Actinopteri; Perciformes; Gasterosteidae
Source: Ensembl